UACGGGGGGGGCAAGCGUUGUUCGGAAUUACUGGGCGUAAAGGGUUCGUAGGCGGCCAACUAAGUCAGACGUGAAAUCCCUCAGCUUAACUGGGGAACUGCGUCUGAGACUGGAUGGCUUGAGUGCAGGAGAGGAACGCGGAAUUCCAGGUGUAGCGGUGAAAUGCGUAGAUAUCUGGAGGAACACCGGUGGCGAAGGCGGCGUUCUGGACUGUUACUGACACUGAGGAACGAAAGCCAGGGGAGCAAACGGG
RNAcentral lists this ribosomal RNA (253 nucleotides) under uncultured bacterium. Its description in RNAcentral is "partial 16S ribosomal RNA". It matches the Rfam family "Bacterial small subunit ribosomal RNA", at positions 524 to 776 of the family's 1533-position model. The record is from RNAcentral.